AUGAAGAAGUACAAAGACCACCUCGCCUUGCUGUAUAAGGCGCACGAGAAACUCAAGGAUGACCUCAAUGCGGUGCUGAACGUCCCACUAAUGCCAUCAGAAGUUGAACGAGCAUGGAAGGACCUCAUUCCGAAAUUCAACAUGCAAAACGAUGAAGUGAUGAAUUCGCUCUGGGAUGACAGGCACGAGUGGAUUUCGGCUUACUACCAGGAAAUUUUCUGUGCUCGGAUGACUUGCACGCAGAGAAGCAAGAGCAUGAACCGCAUACUGAAGAAAAACUUUGUCAAAGUGAAGCAUGAUCUCCAUCUAUUUGCUGAGCAGGUGGACAACCACAUUCGUACCAGGAAGGCCGUCGAGCACGCAGAGACAGUAGCAAAUGAGUCAGAGGUAAAGACAACAACCCAGUUUGGGUUCAAAGUUCAGCUAUCAAAAGUGUAUACAAGGGCAGUGUUUGCAGAUUUCAAAGAAGCACUCUACCGGAGCACUACAUUCAGAGAAGAACGGUGCCCUGAGAACCCAACAAAGUAUCUCAUACACCACUAAAAUAGAUCGGAUGCAUUUGACCGGGCAAGGCAUAAUUUCCAAGUGGUCGCCGAUGAACAGAAAGGUGUCUACGAAUGUGAGUGCAAACUCUGGACACACAGAGGGCUCUUUUGCGUCCAUGUGUUAUGCAUGCUUUCUCAUUUGAGAGUACUCAAGAUUCCUGAGGUGUACAUCAUGAAAAGAUACACCUGGAACGCAAGAUCAAAUGCAACAUUUGACAGAAGAGACUACGAACAAACAACACCAGAUGGAAGCUCACUUUUUUGCCAUAGAAAAUUGCUGACAGAAACAAUAAUGGACCUUGCAAACAGAGCGACAAGGUCCGAUGUUGGGUGCCACAAAGCAUUGUCUGGUAUGAGGGCACUGAUUGAGGAAGUUGAUGUGGUCAACGAAGAAGAAGACGAAGCAGCAAAACUAAAGCAAGCAGAGAAAUCCCAGCAUGCCAAUAAUACCGAGCAAGUAGAAAAUAACGAACAUAGCGCAACUGGUGCUAUAAAAAAAGAAACAAUUCUUGCACCUCCUGUUUCAAACACAAGAAGAAGGAAGAAAGGGGGCGAUGCAACCCAGAAAAGGUUGCAUGCAAGGAGAAAAAUUAUGACAAAAACAGUAAGCCACAGCCUGAACUGGACAGUGAUGGUCACCCACUGGGAAUAA
Molecule: ribosomal RNA, 1197 nt
Filed under: Triticum aestivum (bread wheat)
Lineage: Eukaryota; Viridiplantae; Streptophyta; Magnoliopsida; Poales; Poaceae
Description: partial small subunit ribosomal RNA
Source: RNAcentral